CAGUCGAUGCUCGCUGCUCCGAUACAGGCGCAUGGACGCCGGAGCUCCCCUGCGCCACGCUGCUCCCCUGCUCUCCCGCGCGUCCUCCGCCGCCGUCGCAGCUGCUUCCUCUGCCGCUCCCUUUUGCCUCGCGCAGCUCCCCUGCCUCACGUGCCUACCUCCUGAAUCUCCCCUCUUUAACCCCAAAAAUUGCUUCUUCUUCCUCCCGCCGUGUCUCUUGCUCGCGCCCACCCCCUCCCACCUAGCAUUGAUGGAAGAAGCGUGGCCAGCCCUCGGCCUAGCGGCCAGCGAUGCGGCCUUCCCACCCCCGCCCCGGCCCCCGUGGCGUGGGGCGCGGCGGGAGACGGUGGCCAAGGAAUCGUCCGCGCGCAGGCGGUGAGCCAGAUCGUGUCCAGCUGCGCCAACUCAAGCGGCCUGGCCGUGGACGUCGUCGACGCCAACGCCAUCAUCUCGGGAGGCGCCGCGCUCACCUCCACCGCGGGCCGGCUGGUCACGGUGCUCGAGGAGGUGUUCGACGCCGCAACGCGCCGGAGGCUCGCGCUCCCGCCCACCCCCAUCGAGACCACCGAGCCCGCCCCUGAGUUCGUCAAGGGGGGGGGUCGAAUGUUUACUUAAGCCAGCCUAGAGCCUCGUACUGCUGCUUUCAUUUGCUGAAUAGAGCUUAAACUCUGCACUUUCAUGGACUUAAGUUCAUUUUACUCAUCGACUUACUUACCAUGUCAUAUGUUUCCAUUCUCUGCUCUCUAUUAUUGCUUGCUGCUCUUUGCAUUGCUGUAUUCAGUAGGGCCAGCUCGAACCGUGUGCACCGGGAAGAAGGCCAGCCCUAAGUUGAUGAAGGGAGAAAGCCAACAGGAUGCCCUGCAAAUCGAUUUCGAACAAGUUUACUGCACUACCUGACGGCCUCUCACAGUCUGCAAUCAGCCAACCACCUCUACUGGCUGCUGCCACUCCUCACAUUAGCUAGGUAAUUCCUCUUAAUUUCUAAGAAAGUUAUCCCCUGCUCUCCGUUGCAACAAGUGUAUGAAUUUUUAACUGAACUUCAACUGAAAAACUGUGUAUCACUGUAUAAAGGAGAAAAUGACUAUGGAUUAAAGGUCUGAGAAAACUGUGUACGUACACUGUGUAUCAUUGUAUCAUGGAGCAGUAUAGUACUGAAAACAUCUCCAUAAAUAAAUUUUGACAGUUUACAAAUUCAGAGUUUGGAGUACUAGCGAUUAUCUUCAGCAAGACAAGUUUACAAACAUCUCCAUAACUGAAUUUUACAAAUUCUCCAUAAAUGAAGACAUCUCCACAAAUUCUCCAUAAAUGAAUUUUGCUUGUACAUACACUGUGUACAAGCAAGAUAAAUUCAGCAAGACAAGUUUACAAAUUCUCCAUGAAUGAAUUUUGACAGUUUACAAACAUCUCCACGAAUCCAUGGAAAGACAAGUUUACAAAUUAUCUUCAGCAAUUAUCUUGCAGGUUCGUCAGCACUUGAAAGAACAGCCAUAGUAAAUUCAGAGUUUGGAGUACUAGCAAAUUAACUGAACCCUGAAACCUGAAAUUUUAACUGAAUUUUACCAUCUUCUUCCUGAGGAACACGAGCUCUGGGCUCUGGCGGCAGCACAAGGAGCAGGGCAGAGGAGCAGGACCUCGUCAGCGUGCUUCUUGCCGCGCGCCAGUCCUCGGCGCCGGGGGCGGGGCGGGGUCGGGAUCCUCGAUGCCGCGGGCGGCACUGGUGCUGGAGGUGACGCUGUUCCCCCCGCUCGCCGACAUAGCCGCUGCUCCACCCACUCCCCCCGGCCGUCACGUACCCCUCGUCUUCGUCCUCCUCAGCGAUCUCGUGGCCGGCGGCGGUGAAGUCUGCGGCAGGUCAGCGGCACGGAGGGAGAGCGUGGCCAGGGCCAAAUCAGCGGUCAGGGCCUCGCUGGCGGGGGCCGGAUCAGGGGCCAGGGCCUCGCUCCAGUUCUUCCCAAUGAACACGGAGCAACAUGAGCUUGAGCAGCCUCCGUGAGGCCGGCGCAGGUUGGCUGUCGUCGAGCUCUGGGUCCGAUGGCUGGUGCCGGCGUUGGCUGGGGCGACCACGGUGCUGGCGGGCGACGGAGGAAGGACGAAGAAGCAGUGGGGGAUGAUUAGCAACAGUUUAAAAGGUGGAAGGGUUUUUUCACAAAAUUACAAAUGAACUAAGGUGCGGACAACUUUUUUCGGAUGGAGGGAGUAGUUGUGAAUUUGAGAAAUACUAGUGUUGAAGUUUGUGAUUCCUGUUGCUUGCACGUAUGGUGAAUCGUUAUGUGAUGAAGUCGGAGCAUGAUUUAUUUUUUGA
Long non-coding RNA from Triticum aestivum (bread wheat), 2302 nucleotides. RefSeq lists it as uncharacterized. NCBI's taxonomy places the organism in Eukaryota, Viridiplantae, Streptophyta, Magnoliopsida, Poales, Poaceae. The transcript is spliced from 2 exons. The record is from RefSeq and is a predicted model, not a curated record.